GACGAACGCUGGCGGCGUGCCUAACACAUGCAAGUCGAGCGGAGAUGUACUGAAGAUUUAUCGGAUGUACAUCUUAGCGGCGGACGGGUGAGUAACGCGUGGGCAACCUGCCUUUCACUGGGGGAUAACACAGGGAAACCUGUGCUAAUACCGCAUGACAUCAUGUAGGGCAUCCUAUGUGAUCAAAGGAGAGAUCCGGUGGAAGAUGGGCCCGCGUCCAAUUAGCUGGUUGGUGAGGUAAAGGCUCACCAAGGCGACGAUUGGUAGCCGAACUGAGAGGUUGAUCGGCCACAUUGGGACUGAGACACGGCCCAGACUCCUACGGGAGGCAGCAGUGGGGAAUAUUGCGCAAUGGGGGGAACCCUGACGCAGCAACGCCGCGUGAAGGAAGAAGGUCUUCGGAUUGUAAACUUCUUUGAUGAGGGACGAAUAAAGUGACGGUACCUCAAAAACAAGCCACGGCUAACUACGUGCCAGCAGCCGCGGU
This 487-nucleotide ribosomal RNA is filed under the name uncultured bacterium. RNAcentral describes it as "bacterial SSU rRNA". It matches the Rfam family "Bacterial small subunit ribosomal RNA", at positions 28 to 521 of the family's 1533-position model. The record is from RNAcentral.